RNAcentral lists this ribosomal RNA (443 nucleotides) under uncultured bacterium. RNAcentral's name for it is "partial 16S ribosomal RNA". It matches the Rfam family "Bacterial small subunit ribosomal RNA", at positions 338 to 795 of the family's 1533-position model. The record is from RNAcentral.
CCUACGGGGGGCUGCAGUGGGGAAUAUUGGGCAAUGGAGGCAACUCUGACCCAGCAACGCCGCGUGAAUGAUGAAGGUCUUCGGAUUGUAAAGUCCUUUGAUGGGGGAUGAACACAAUGAUGGUACCCCAAUAGCAAGCCACGGCUAACUACGUGCCAGCAGCCGCGGUAAUACGGAGGGGGCAAGCGUUAUCCGGAAUGACUGGGCGUAAAGGGUGCGUAGGGGGUUUAGUAAGUUGGCGGUGUAAUUCCGGGGCUCAACCUCGGCGCUACCGCCAAAACUAUUAGACUAGAGUGCAGGAGAGGUAAGUGGAAUGCCUGGUGUAGCGGUGGAAUGCGUAGAUAUUAGGAGGAACAUCAGGGGCGAAGGCGACUUACUGGACUGUAACUGACACUGAGGCAUGAAAGCGUGGGGAGCAAACUGGAUUAGAUACCCCUGUAGUC